Long non-coding RNA from Dromaius novaehollandiae (emu), 434 nucleotides. RefSeq lists it as uncharacterized. The transcript is spliced from 3 exons. The record is from RefSeq and is a predicted model, not a curated record. NCBI's taxonomy places the organism in Eukaryota, Metazoa, Chordata, Aves, Casuariiformes, Dromaiidae.
AUUUUUAUCAAGAAUUCUGUGGCAGUGCAGAUAAGCAUUGUGAUUUGUUUUCACUGAAAGAAGAGUAUGGUGUGCAUCAAAAGAUCAACUUGAAUAACCCACCUGAACAAUAUUAUCAAGAAAAAUCAGGUCCUGUGAACAAUGCAAGUACAGAAAAAGGUGAAGCACCUUCAGAGAGCAAUUUUUACUUGGAGGAGUUAGAGAAAUACACUUUUUCUGUGUGCUGCCGUUCUGCUGUAGAAGUGAGGCUGUCCAAAAGGAUUAUUGAACAUUUCCAUUUUGGGAUAUAUGCAGUCUUCUCAGAACUGGGAACCACACAUUGGUGUUCUUGGGACUUCUGGCUGGUUGUGCUGUUAGUAAUUUUACUUUGGUUUGUGAGACUUUACCUGCAUUAUUGUAGUCAGUGGCUCUUCCUUCAGGCCAUCUCAGUUCCU